UUUACCUACGGGAGGCAGCAGUGGGGAAUAUUGCACAAUGGGGGGAACCCUGAUGCAGCGACGCCGCGUGAGUGAAGAAGUAUUUCGGUAUGUAAAGCUCUAUCAGCAGGGAAGAAGAUGACGGUACCUGACUAAGAAGCCCCGGCUAACUACGUGCCAGCAGCCGCGGUAAUACGUAGGGGGCAAGCGUUAUCCGGAUUUACUGGGUGUAAAGGGAGCGUAGACGGCAGGGCAAGUCUGAAGUGAAAGCCCGGGGCUCAACCCCGGGACUGCUUUGGAAACUGUAUGGCUGGAGUGCUGGAGAG
Molecule: ribosomal RNA, 305 nt
Filed under: uncultured bacterium
Lineage: Bacteria
Description: bacterial SSU rRNA
Rfam family: Bacterial small subunit ribosomal RNA
Source: RNAcentral